CUCUCGCUCGGCCCGGUAGAUGUUGUCGUGGCUGUGCUUGGCCCACGUCUCGGGCGUGGAAGCGCUGUGGCGUGGGCCCCGGGGAGGAGCAUCAAGAGCAGGAGGAGAUGGGAAACAAAACAGUAUCCUCAAGGUUCAAGGACACAUUCCAGCCUGGCAAAAAUCAAGGAGGCCUGAGGAGAUUUCCAAGGGCCAGACAGAGAAGUUCAGAGGGUGGCAUUUGGGCCCCACUCCUGGACUGCAAGUAAAAGAUAAAAAAGGUGUAGGUGAUCCAGAGGUUCUCACCUGUCCUCGAACCUCGAUGUGCUUGGAUGGAACUGGAUGUUCGUGCUCUGGUUAUUGUACCUCCCACAUUUCUCGUCAAU
Podarcis raffonei (Aeolian wall lizard) is the source of this 365-nucleotide long non-coding RNA. RefSeq lists it as uncharacterized. The record is from RefSeq and is a predicted model, not a curated record. The transcript has 3 exons. NCBI's taxonomy places the organism in Eukaryota, Metazoa, Chordata, Lepidosauria, Squamata, Lacertidae.